UAGUUCGAUUAUGGCUCAGGAUGAACGCUGGCGGCAUGCCUAAUACAUGCAAGUCGAACGGAGUGAAGCCUUCGGGUUUCAUUCAGUGGCGAACGGGUGAGUAAUACGCAGGGAACCUGGCCAUGGCAGGGGGAUACACUCUGGAAACGGAGCAUAAGACCCCAUAGGCAGUAAGGCGGCAUCGCCUUACUGUUAAAGAAAGCUGAAAGGCUUUGGCGAUGGAUGGACCUGCGGUGCAUUAGCUUGUUGGUGAGGCAACGGCUUACCAAGGCGAUGAUGCAUAGCCGGCCUGAGAGGGCGGACGGCCACACUGGGACUGAGACACGGCCCAGACUCCUGCGGGAGGCAGCAGUAGGGAAUUUUCGUCAAUGGGCGCAAGCCUGAACGAGCAAUGCCGCGUGAGUGAGGAAGGUCUUCGGACUGUAAAGCUCUGUUGCCGGGGAAAAAGGGGAAAUGCAGGAAAUGGCAUUUCAUGGAUGGUACCCGGCCAGAAAGCCACGGCUAACUACGUGCCAGCAGCCGCGGUAAUACGUAGGUGGCGAGCGUUAUCCGGAAUGAUUGGGCGUAAAGGGUGCGCAGGCGGUCUGUUAAGUCUGAAGGCAAAGGGAUGAGCUCAACUCAUUUAUGAUUCAGAAACUGGCAGACUUGAGGACAGGAGAGGGCGGUGGAACUCCAUGUGUAGCGGUAAAAUGCGCAGAGAUAUGGAAGAACACCAGUGGCGAAGGCGGCCGCCUGGCCUGUGACUGACGCUGAGGCACGAAAGCGUGGGGAGCAAAUAGGAUUAGAUACCCUAGUAGUCCACGCCGUAAACGAUGAGGAGCAGGUGUUGGGAGUGAAAUCUCAGUGCCGAAGCCAACGCAGUGACUCCUCCGCCUGGGGAGUAUGCACGCAAGUGUGAAACUCAAAGGAAUUGACGGGGGCCCGCACAAGCGGUGGAGUAUGUGGUUUAAUUCGAAGCAACGCGAAGAACCUUACCAGGUUUUGACAUCGGAUGCGAAGGCGCAGAGAUGCGCUGGAGGCUAUCAUCCAGACAGGUGGUGCAUGGUUGUCGUCAGCUCGUGUCGUGAGAUGUUCAGUUAAGUCUGGCAACGAGCGCAACCCCCGUGGUAUGUUACUAACGCUUUAGGGCGAGGACUCAUAUCAGACUGCCGGUGACAAACCGGAGGAAGGCGGGGAUGACGUCAAAUCAUCAUGCCCCUUAUGACCUGGGCUACACACGUACUACAAUGGCGUCUACAGAGGGAAGCGACCCUGAGAAGGGAAGCGAAACCGGAAAAGGGCGUCCCAGUUCGGAUUGAAGUCUGCAACCCGACUUCAUGAAGAUGGAAUCGCUAGUAAUCGCGGAUCAGCAUGCCGCGGUGAAUACGUUCCCGGGCCUUGUACACACCGCCCGUCAAACCAUGGAAGCCGGCAACGCCCGAAGCCGGUGGCAUAACCUUUUAGGAGUGAGCCGUCGAAGGCGGGGCCGAUGACUGGGGUUAAGUCGUAACAAGGUACCC
This 1499-nucleotide ribosomal RNA is filed under the name uncultured bacterium. Its description in RNAcentral is "bacterial SSU rRNA". It matches the Rfam family "Bacterial small subunit ribosomal RNA". The record is from RNAcentral.